UGAGGCCAGGGUUUGCCUGGGGAAGGUGCCAGGCCCCUGAGCCCCCAGGGCAAGGGGCAGCAGGGGGCAGUGGGGACCUGGAGUUUCCUGUCCCACAGAACACCUCAUGUGGAACAAGGUUGUUUUUCAAAGCCUGUCCCAGUGAGCCAUGAACACCACAGCCUGGGCUGUGAGCAGGAGGCAGAGGGGAUCUGGAAGGAAAUUCGUACCAUGAGGAGCUGAGUGGAGCAGCCGCUCCCACCAAAGCUCAGCGGGAAGCAGGAGUGAGCAGCAGUGGAAGGCAGCAUGAAAUAACCCCUGGGGUGUGACCCCCUGACUGAGCUCACCAUAGAGCUUCAGGGCUUGGAAGAGGUGUCUCCAGACCAGGUGUCCUGCACAGACCUUAUCCGGCUGGUUGCCCCUUCCCAACUGCUCCCAGUUGUUUUCCUAACAUUCACUAAGCACACAGAAAAGUCCCAGGAAAGACACAAGUCUGCCAAAUGACUCUGGGAAGCUUAGCUCGUGUUCAAGUUGGUUUCUGCAGCCUGUUUCUUGGAUUUUUUUGAACCAACUGAACACUGUCAGGAGCAACAGGACAGGCUGGAGGGGUUCUCCCAUUCCUCCCCACCACAUGCAUUGGGACACUGUGCUCCACAGUCACUAUUUUCUUUCCUCUGGCAUUGCAGGUGGCAACAGGGCUAUGCUGAACUGCCUCACUUCACUGCCACGCCCCUGCACAACCUCUUCAGUUCCAGUAAUUCCCACAUCCCAUGCAGCAUAUCUGACAGGUACCAAAGCCAGGUUUAAGAGUCCACUGUUUCCUGGAUCCUUUGGAGCCCUUCCUAGGGCUGGCCUGACCUGGCCUUUGCCACCUCUCCUCUGGUUUGGGAAGGUCAGGGACCUGCUGCCUAUGUCUUGCUGCAGGGUCUGCCCUGAGCACGUGCCAGCCCAGUAGUUUUUCAGCAGAAUUCCCACUUCUGAUGUGUUUGCAAAAUACUCUGCUGUUAAUUCUUA
Molecule: long non-coding RNA, 993 nt
Organism: Chiroxiphia lanceolata (lance-tailed manakin)
Lineage: Eukaryota; Metazoa; Chordata; Aves; Passeriformes; Pipridae
Exons: 2
Source: RefSeq, a predicted model, not a curated record